Molecule: long non-coding RNA, 225 nt
Filed under: Salvia miltiorrhiza (redroot sage)
Lineage: Eukaryota; Viridiplantae; Streptophyta; Magnoliopsida; Lamiales; Lamiaceae
Description: long non-coding RNA (SMIL_LNC003072)
Source: RNAcentral
UUAUAUUAAAUCACGACGAGCAAUAUCCGAAAGCCAAGUUGGAAAACUCGACUUCCAGAUCAUUACACCAGAAGAAGACAUGGCGAAAUUCGCCAAACAAUGUGCCGCCCUAUUAGCUUCCCUACGGGCAUGGCAAAAACGAAAAACAAUAUGCUCUUUAGCAUGCAUAAAAACCUCAAACAGCUCAUCACUAAGAGAAUCCAUCCCUCUCGAAUCCUCAUGAAC